This 507-nucleotide ribosomal RNA is filed under the name uncultured Glomeromycotina. RNAcentral's name for it is "partial small subunit ribosomal RNA". It matches the Rfam family "Eukaryotic small subunit ribosomal RNA", at positions 591 to 1092 of the family's 1831-position model. Lineage: Eukaryota; Fungi; Glomeromycota. The record is from RNAcentral.
CCAAUAGCGUAUAUUAAAGUUGUUGCAGUUAAAAAGCUCGUAGUUGAAUUUCGGGAUUGGCGCAUCGGUCGUGCCUCACGGGGUAUGAACUGGUGCAGUCAAUUUCUCACCUUCUGGAGAACCGCGAUGUCCUUAAUUGGAUGCCGCGGGGAACCAGGACCUUUACUUUGAAAAAAUUAGAGUGUUUAAAGCAGGCAUUUUUGCUUGACUACAUUAGCAUGGAAUAAUAAAAUAGGACGGCAUGGUUCUAUUUUGUUGGUUUCUAGGACCACCGUAAUGAUUAAUAGGGAUAGUUGGGGGCAUUAGUAUUCAAUUGUCAGAGGUGAAAUUCUUGGAUUUAUUGAAGACUAACUACUGCGAAAGCAUUUGCCAAGGAUGUUUUCAUUAAUCAAGAACGAAAGUUAGGGGAUCGAAGACGAUCAGAUACCGUCGUAGUCUUAACCAUAAACUAUGCCGACUAGGAAUCAGACGAUGUUAAUUUUUUAAUGACUCGUUUGGCACCUUACG